This 253-nucleotide ribosomal RNA is filed under the name uncultured bacterium. Its description in RNAcentral is "partial 16S ribosomal RNA". It matches the Rfam family "Bacterial small subunit ribosomal RNA", at positions 524 to 776 of the family's 1533-position model. The record is from RNAcentral.
UACGUAGGGACCAAGCGUUGUUCGGAUUUACUGGGCGUAAAGGGCGCGUAGGCGGCGCGGUAAGUCACUUGUGAAAUCUCUGAGCUUAACUCAGAACGGCCAAGUGAUACUGCAGUGCUAGAGUGCGGAAGGGGCAAUCGGAAUUCUUGGUGUAGCGGUGAAAUGCGUAGAUAUCAAGAGGAACACCUGAGGUGAAGACGGGUUGCUGGGCCAACACUGACGCUGAUGCGCGAAAGCCAGGGGAGCAAACGGG